GCUUGUCCCAUCCUUGCACAGCAUGG
Molecule: unclassified non-coding RNA, 26 nt
Filed under: Mus musculus (house mouse)
Lineage: Eukaryota; Metazoa; Chordata; Mammalia; Rodentia; Muridae
Description: oocyte_clustered_small_RNA12920
Source: RNAcentral